RNAcentral lists this ribosomal RNA (390 nucleotides) under uncultured Methanosaeta sp. RNAcentral's name for it is "bacterial SSU rRNA". It matches the Rfam family "Archaeal small subunit ribosomal RNA", at positions 949 to 1338 of the family's 1478-position model. The record is from RNAcentral. Lineage: Archaea; Methanobacteriati; Methanobacteriota; Methanomicrobia; Methanotrichales; Methanotrichaceae.
GAAGGUCAGGCUGAAGACCUUACCCGAUUAGCUGAGAGGUGGUGCAUGGCCGUCGUCAGUUCGUACUGUGAAGCAUCCUGUUAAGUCAGGCAACGAGCGAGACCCACGUCCACAGUUGCCAGCAUACCCUCCGGGGUGAUGGGUACACUGUGGAGACCGCCGCUGCUAAAGCGGAGGAAGGAGUGGGCAACGGUAGGUCAGUAUGCCCCGAAUCUCCCGGGCUACACGCGGGCUACAAUGGUUGGUACAAUGGGCAUCUACCCCGAAAGGGGAAGGAAAUCUCUUAAAGCCAAUCGUAGUUCGGAUUGAGGGCUGCAACUCGCCCUCAUGAAGUUGGAAUCCGUAGUAAUCGCGUUUCAACAGAACGCGGUGAAUACGUCCCUGCUCCUU